GUGGGUAUAGCUCAGUGGUAUAGCUCAAGCUUAGCAUGCAUGAGGUCCUGGGUUCAAUCCCCAGUAUCUCCA
RNAcentral lists this transfer RNA (72 nucleotides) under Camelus bactrianus (Bactrian camel). It matches the Rfam family "tRNA". Rfam says of the family: Transfer RNA (tRNA) molecules are approximately 80 nucleotides in length. Their secondary structure includes four short double-helical elements and three loops (D, anti-codon, and T loops). Lineage: Eukaryota; Metazoa; Chordata; Mammalia; Artiodactyla; Camelidae. The record is from Rfam by way of RNAcentral. RNAcentral also lists the same sequence under 2 other names.